UACAACUUACAAGUUAGAACCUUUUUAGCCGGUUUAUGGACGCCGGACUGCCUGACUUAUCUACUAAUCAGUAGCGACUUAGCGAGGGAUUAUUUCAUGUACGAGUUUGGCUAUGUUGUUUUGUAUUUUCCUUUGAAGAGUUAAAAAUUCAAAAUGAGCAUCAAGUGGAGUGAAAGUGUUAUGCUGAAGUUUUUAGAACUGUACGAAAAGUACGACUGUCUCUGGAAUCACAGACUUGAAGAGUAUAAAAAUAAAAACGUACGAGCAAACGCGUUGGCUUCUUUUGUAGGAGAAAUGGGAAUUGCCGGACUUACUGUUGCCGAUUUAAAGAACAAAAUCAAGACGGUAAGAACUAUGUAUAAGAAAGAAAAUUCAUUGAUUUACAAAUCAAAAAAAAGUGGAGCCAGCCCAGAGGAAUUGUACGUGCCAAAAUUAUUCUGGUACAAAAGGGCAGAUAUGUUUCUAAACGGUGUUACAACCUCAAAGGAUACAUCAUCAAAUUUAAAUGUACCACUACAUAAUGGAGCUGAAAGUAAAUCGACCCAUAAUGAAGAAGAAAACUCAGAUGAAAUUGAAUUUACUGCAUCAACAUCAUCAUCUUUAAUUACCAAAAAUGGCACUCAGGAAAAAAAGCGACUUGCGGGAAACUCAGAAACAGCUAAUCCAUUUACUACUAAACAAUUGAAGAGAGCAAAUGUAUUUCGUGCUCCAAAUAUCCAUAAACGUAAAAUGAUAAAUGAAAAUAUUUCAACAAUAAGUGCAGCUAUUGAGAAACUUGUCCAAAGUAGUAAAAGCGAGGCUGACGAUGAGUUUGAAAUAUUUGGAAAAUAUGUCGCUGUACAAAUAAAACAGAUGCCUCUGUACGACGCAAUAAUAUGUCAAGAAGAAGUUCAAACCCUGAUAAGGGAAAAGAGAUUGGAGAUCUUGUCAAGAACUCAAUAUGUAGAUCCAAAGACACUAUCACCAGCAGUGGGAGGACAAUGGUCGUCAUCAGUUUCUGAAACAUCCAACCAAGAAUUACUCGAGGAGGAUUCCCAAGAAACAUCUGACAAAUAUCAAAAGCCUUAAAAGAUAUCUAACUUAAAUGAUUAGACUAUGGCAGUAUUUUUUAUGGCGAUGCAACAAAAUGCCUUUGCCAAAUUGGACAGGAGCCUAUAAAAAAAUAACUAGAUGCUGCAUAGGAGAGAUGGCGUCUUCUUGUACUAAUGCUCUUUUGAUAGAAGCAGGAAUAUGCCCAUGUGGAAAACUAGGUGGCAAGUGUCUCUCAUACUCAUCAGUAGGAAACACUUUUUCACCCAGCAACCAUUCAUAGUUUUGCUUUGGAAAGAUUACUUUACCAUCUGGCAAUGAAUAUCCUUGAACUCAGGACUUUCCCUUAACAUAAUAACAGCGUAUGAAGAGUAAGAAGUAAUAGGAUGAGGAGCAGUAUGGAGAUCCUCAACCAUGGUAUAUAUGAAUGGAUCCAAAUGAGAGAGAGGAAUCAGGCAGCAGUAAUUCAUCGUAUCGAUGAUGAACACUUGCAAACAAAGGGAUAAUUUUUACUGCAGAAGAAAUAGAGAUAUUGAAGGCCUUGAGCUACAUUACCGAGCACAUGCUAGAAAGUGCCAUACUCCAAUCGAAUGGCCUAAUUCCUAUUUCAAUUCCUUUGAUAGUCAAAACUAGACUUCUGGACAUGGAGGAAAAUAAUGUGUAUGUGAUUUGGGCAACAGUCCUCAGCAUGAGCCCUUACAAUAACAAGUUGCAUGUGUUAGUUAAGGAUGCAGCAUGUAGUGCAGUUCCAUGGAACAAUACUAUUAACAAUUAGAUUAUAGCCUAUAUAACAAGGUGAAAGAAAUUAUAUGGUAGCGUGGAUAUGUUGUGUCUUGGAGACAGAAAGCUUCCAUACAGCUAUAUAUUCCUGGUGGUUCACAAGAAUGAAUAACGCUAAGAAACUGUUCCUCCCAUUGAUAAGAUUUUGAUUAAACUUUCUUAUCACCUCUGCAAAAUAGGCAUCACCUUAACGUUCACAUGCUGUCACGGAGUCACCACUACUGACAUCAACUCUGUUCUUCUCACUCCCAUGGUAGAAGUGAGACUCUACUAAUUCAGGUGAUUUUUCAGAUCUAUUUCCUCGAGCUUUAUCUUAAGUACAGCGACAGUGCAAUUUUGGCUACUUGCAGCAAUACAACACGAGUGACAGAUGCCACUUGCUGUCAAAUUUAUUCAUAAACUGUUUACAUUACUAGAUAGUUUAUAUUCCUUCCACUUGAUUAAUUAAAACUGUUUAUGGAUUGAGUAAUUCUAUUGUCUGUUAAUUACCUUUAGUCUUAUUAUUAUUGUAUUUCUGACUUGACCCAGCAACCACCAGAGGAAAAGAUAGACUACAUGCUAUCACAUAUAAAUUUUAUUGUGCUCGGCUGUCUAGUAAAACGUAAAAAAAAGCAGAAUUGCAACAGUUACAACUGAAUCGACUUUGGACACAAUUUUUCCCUUGUAAUCUGAAAAUGUACAUUUUCAAAUCAAGGUUAAACAACUUCAUAAGGGAUAACAUUUUUUGCAAACUUUUUAAAAUUUAUAUUUUCAAUUAAAUUGAACAAAAAAGAGAAAAUUGUAUUUUUUAUUAACAAACUGUAACUGUAGCAAAACAAAUCAGCAAGGUUUGAUGCGUUUAAAGAGGGGAGGAAAAGACAAAUUUUAAAUCGCUUUCCACAAUGUAAAUUACUUAAUAAAAAAAAUCAUUAAUUUAAAAUUUGGUUUUAAUUUUAUUGGUUAUAAAACUUAAUGGUGUAAUAGUUAAAAACAGUAGUUUUAUUUUAACCACUUUUUCCUAAAAAAAAAAUCUUCCUGAAAUAUAGGACCCAGAUAAAUAUUUGUAAACCUCAAAUUAAAUUAAACAGCAUUACAUUACAAAUUAAUUUGCAUAAAAUCGAUUUAUGUUGAUAGUUUUAUACUUAACGAAAAAAUUGACGCAAGGAUUCGCAAAAAGAUAAAUCUCACUCUUAUAUCCAAUUGCAUAAAUGCACAGUCAACGCAAACUUUUGAUUUAUCUUCAAAUUUCAUUAUUUAGUACAAUUUGCAAUAUAAAUAUAUUGAAAUGUAUAAAGCAAUAUAUUAUACAAAUAUCAACAAUUUUUAAAUAUAAUAUAUUUACAUUCUAUUCAUUUAUAAUACAAACAAUUUUUAAAAAAAUAAAAACUGGUGAUGUUAGUCACAAAUUCUACAUAAAUUCUUAAUUAUGAUUAAUAAACAAUUAUUAAACAUGCAAAAAUUUCAGGCAUAUCUUUUAGGUUAUAAUUGUCAGUACAUCACUAUAGUCACAAUUCUUUCACCAUUUCUUGGAAAGUUAUACAAAUUAGAAAUAGCAAAAAUAACAUCAUAAUUCUUUGCAACUGAACACACACUAUAGACUUUAUAUAUAUAUAAUUUACAUAUAAAUUUCACCAAUAACCAUUUUUGUACAUAGAUAAUUUAAAGUGACAAACAUUAUAGCAUUUUAGGCACAGAUACAGACAAAAGAGCACCAUUUUAAAUACAAUAAAUACAAGGUAGCCAGCGUGUCCCAAUUUCUUUUCUUGAUUAUUAGGAACAGUUGCUAACACUGCUCUCCUUGUGUGCGAUUCAUAUGGCCUGCUUUUGACCACAUUACAAUAAUAAAAAUUCAUAACAGCAUAUAAAUUGUCACAUGAUAAUUUGGACCAUUUACACUUAUAUUGUGAAUAAUUAUAUAUUUUACUUAUACAAAUUUAUUUAUUUUUUGUUUAAAUUAUUUCCCAUUGUUUGACUUCAUUGGUAUGAGAAGUUUGUGCACUCUUUGUUAACUCAAAUAUAAGAAAGAGUUUUUCUGAGUUUUUUUCUCCUCAAUCAGUCUGAAUGAUGCACAGUUGGACUUCUGAUUGUUAUUUUUAAUACAAUGAGUACACAGACUUCCAUUACUCUCUAAGGUCGAAUUAGUACGGAAUGUAUCUAAAACUAAAUCAAUUACAAAAAAAAAAAAA
This 3974-nucleotide unclassified non-coding RNA is filed under the name Cimex lectularius (bed bug). RNAcentral's name for it is "uncharacterized LOC106662812, transcript variant X1". The record is from RNAcentral. Lineage: Eukaryota; Metazoa; Arthropoda; Insecta; Hemiptera; Cimicidae.